RNAcentral lists this ribosomal RNA (575 nucleotides) under uncultured fungus. RNAcentral's name for it is "eukaryotic LSU rRNA". The stretch from base 210 to 363 matches the Rfam family "5.8S ribosomal RNA". The record is from RNAcentral. Lineage: Eukaryota; Fungi.
UUAGAGGAAGUAAAAGUCGUAACAAGGUUUCCGUUGGUGAACCAGCGGAGGGAUCAUUACCGAGUUAUACAACUCAUCAACCCUGUGAACAUACCUAAAACGUUGCUUCGGCGGGAACAGACGGCCCUGUAACAACGGGCCGCCCCCGCCAGAGGACCCCUAACUCUGUUUUUAUAAUGUUUUUGUGAGUAAACAAGCAAAUAAAUUAAAACUUUCAACAACGGAUCUCUUGGCUCUGGCAUCGAUGAAGAACGCAGCGAAAUGCGAUAAGUAAUGUGAAUUGCAGAAUUCAGUGAAUCAUCGAAUCUUUGAACGCACAUUGCGCCCGCCAGUAUUCUGGCGGGCAUGCCUGUUCGAGCGUCAUUACAACCCUCAGGCCCCCGGGCCUGGCGUUGGGGAUCGGCGGAAGCCCCCUGUGGGCACACGCCGUCCCUCAAAUACAGUGGCGGUCCCGCCGCAGCUUCCAUUGCGUAGUAGCUAACACCUCGCAACUGGAGAGCGGCGCGGCCAUGCCGUAAAACACCCAACUUCUGAAUGUUGACCUCGAAUCAGGUAGGAAUACCCGCUGAACUUAA